UGGGGAAUAUUGCACAAUGGGGGAAACCCUGAUGCAGCGACGCCGCGUGAGCGAAGAAGGUUUUCGAAUCGUAAAGCUCUGUCCUAUGAGAAGAUAAUGACGGUAUCAUAGGAGGAAGCCCCGGCUAACUACGUGCCAGCAGCGGCGGUAAUACGUAGGUCCCGAGCGUUGUCCGGAUUUAUUGGGCGUAAAGCGAGCGCAGGCGGUUAGAAAAGUCUGAAGUGAAAGGCAGUGGCUCAACCAUUGUAGGCUUUGGAAACUGUUUAACUUGAGUGCAGAAGGGGAGAGUGGAAUUCCAUGUGUAGCGGUGACAUGCGUAGAUAUAUGGAGGAACCCCGGUGGCGAAAGCGGCUCUCUGGUCUGUAACUGACGCUGAGGCUCGAAAGCGUGGGGAGCUAACAGG
Molecule: ribosomal RNA, 403 nt
Filed under: Verrucomicrobiota bacterium
Lineage: Bacteria; Pseudomonadati; Verrucomicrobiota
Description: Verrucomicrobia bacterium partial 16S ribosomal RNA
Rfam family: Bacterial small subunit ribosomal RNA
Source: RNAcentral